AUGAGGAAAGGAUUAUUCGCCAACAAGGAUGAAUAUCUCUUCUUUGGAGAAGAAAAUAGGCUGAAAAUGUUUCAGCCAAAUACAUUCAAUUUUAAGCCAAAAUCCCAUAUUAAGCUCGAUGAAGCUCAAAGAUGCAUAUUGGAUAACUUUUGGUUCCAAUAUACUCGCAAAAGAGAGGAACAAGGAUAUUUUUUAUCAAUUCUCAACAGUUUGGCUGAAUAUUUUAAUGAAUUAAACAAAAAUGUGCCAAAGCCAGCAAAAGUUGAAAUACCAAAAGGAGAAACUCUAUAUCUUAUAUUUGAUGGAAACAAACCUGGCAUAUAUUUGGAAUGGGAGAAUAUUAUGAUUGAAAAAUUAGAUGCAAAAAGAAAUGGACAAGAUUUAACAUUCAAAAGAUAUUACAGUAUAGAUGAGGCCUUACUUUGGGCAAGGAAGGUAUUAGGACCAGAUUAUUAUAUUGACCCAAAGGCUAAAAACUAUAUCCAAAUGAAAAGAGGCAUACCUGCUUCACCAACUCCCACAAAGGGGGAGGCAUCAAGCUCAAACAAUAUAAAGAAAGAAGAAUCCCCAAAAUAUAAGACAUAUCAAGAAUGCCUUCUAAGUGAAAAAAUAACUUUUGCUGGCUUUGGUAUAUUCAUCAUCUAA
Molecule: ribosomal RNA, 645 nt
Filed under: Triticum aestivum (bread wheat)
Lineage: Eukaryota; Viridiplantae; Streptophyta; Magnoliopsida; Poales; Poaceae
Description: partial small subunit ribosomal RNA
Source: RNAcentral